GAUGAAGAACGUAGCAAAAUGCGAUAAGUAAUGUGAAUUGCAGAAUUCAGUGAAUCAUCGAAUCUUUGAACGCACAUUGCCCCCGCCAGUAUUCUGGCGGGCAUGCCUGUUCGAGCGUCAUUUCAACCCUCAAGCACAGCUUGGUGUUGGGACUCGCGUUAAUUCGCGUUCCUCAAAUUGAUUGGCGGUCACGUCGAGCUUCCAUAGCGUAGUAGUAAAACCCUCGUUACUGGUAAUCGUCGCGGCCACGCCGUUAAACCCCAACUUCUGAAUGUUGACCUCGGAUCAGGUAGGAAUACCCGCUGAACUUAAGCAUAUCAAUAAGCGGAGGA
Molecule: unclassified non-coding RNA, 332 nt
Filed under: soil metagenome
Description: partial contains 5.8S ribosomal RNA, internal transcribed spacer 2, and large subunit ribosomal RNA
Rfam family: 5.8S ribosomal RNA (bases 1-120)
Source: RNAcentral